RNAcentral lists this long non-coding RNA (1633 nucleotides) under Homo sapiens (human). RNAcentral describes it as "non-protein coding lnc-OR2B6-1:1". The record is from RNAcentral. Lineage: Eukaryota; Metazoa; Chordata; Mammalia; Primates; Hominidae.
AUGAAGCCAACAGGUGCAGACCCAAGGAUCUUAUCUCUAGCUGCUGAAGUUGCAAAAAGCCCUGAGUGGAAUGUCCCUGUUAUACUGUUGAAGUUAAAAGCCAUUGCUGUGCAGGCUUGGAGCCAGGAGAAGAUGCAGAGGAACUUUCCAAUGAAUUACUUCCAUCAGCUGCAGAAAAUUUUCUAGUUUUGGGGAGAUAAUGGCAAACAUGUUUUAUCAAUGCAGCUAAGGCUGAAGAAAAAGAUGAGUUACUAAAAAUUGUGACUGAUUGGCUCUUCUGGCUUUUGGGAGGCCAUGUUGAACUUAUUCAGAAUGUACUACAAAGUGAUCAUUUCUUACACUUACUGCAAGUUGACAAUGUCCAAAUAGGAUCAGCACUCAUGAUGAUGCUACAGAAUAUACUAUAGAGCAACAGUGGUGAUUUACUCAGAACAGGAGGAAAAGCCGUGCAUUCAAUUUUAGAUGAAGUUAUUUUCAAGCUUUUUUCAACUCCUAGUCCAGUCAUAAGAAGUACUGCUGCAAAACUCCUACUGUUGAUGGCUGAAUCCUAUCAGGAAAUUUUGAUUUUACUGAGACAAAGUGCCUGCUACAAAGGACUCAGAAGUCUACUAAGUAAACAGGAAACUGGGACAGAAUUCAGUCAAGAACUUAGACAGCUCAUUGGCCUUUUAAGCCCAACGGUCUAUCAGGAAGUAGAAAAGCAGAAACUACAUCAAGCAGCAUGCUUGAUUCAAGCCUAUUGGAAGGGUUUUCAGACAAGAAAGAGAUUAAAGAAGCUUCCAUCUGCUGUGAUUGCUUUGCAGAGGAGUUUCAGAUCUAAACGAGCAAAGAUGUUGCUGGAGAUAAAUAGGAAGAAGGAAGAAGAGGACCUCAGAUUGUGAUUGCAACUUCAAAGACAGAGAGCCAUGAGACUUUCCCAAGAAUUGUGGCUGAGUAUGCUCAAAGUAGUUCAUCCAGGUCAAGUGGAGAAACACAAUUGGGAAAUGGAAGAGAAAUCAGCACUGAUUAUCCAGAAACAUUGGAGAGGGUACAGGGAAAGGAAAAAUUUUUGCCAACAGAGGCAGUCUCUCACAGAAUAUAAAGCAGCUGUCAUACUUCAAAGAGCAGUGUUUAAAUUCCUAGCAAAGUGCCGUAAGAAACAGAAACUAUUUGUUCCUUGGUGAGGACUCCAAGAACUCACUGAUGCAUGCCGAGCUGAACUGAAGCAACAAGCGGAUGACUAUGUCAGAAGACAUUCGGGCUCUCCAAUGUCAGAUGUGGUCAGUAGCGAGCCCCAUGCCCGAGCUUAAGAACGACUGCAACACUACUUUAUGGGCAGGGCCCUGGAAGAGUGAGCCCAGCAACACAGAGAAGCUCUGAUGGUACAGAUCAGCACUAACGUUGAACAGCUAAUGAAGGCACCAAGUCUGAAGGAAGCAGAAGGGAAAGAACCUGAGCUCUUCCUAAGAUCCAGGCCUGUGGCAGCCAAGGCCAAGCAGGCCCAUCUCACCACCCUGAAGCAUAUACAACCCACGCCGGUUGAAGAAGCUUGGGGAAGAAUCUGGAGAUGAGAUUGAUGUUCCAAAGGAUGAGCUUAGUGUGGAAUUAGAAACUUUAUUCAUUGGUGUAACCAAACCACCUAGUGAGUUACCCU